RNAcentral lists this ribosomal RNA (457 nucleotides) under uncultured bacterium. RNAcentral describes it as "bacterial SSU rRNA". It matches the Rfam family "Bacterial small subunit ribosomal RNA", at positions 340 to 786 of the family's 1533-position model. The record is from RNAcentral.
UACGGAAGGCAGCAGUGGGGAAUAUUGCACAAUGGGCGAAAGCCUGAUGCAGCUAUGCCGCGUGUAUGAAGAAGGCCUUAGGGUUGUAAAGUACUUUCAUCGGGGAGGAAAAAACAAAACUAAUAAUUUUAUUUCUUGACGUUACCCGAAAAAGAAGCACCGGCUAACUCCGUGCCAGCAGCCGCGGUAAUACGGAGGGUGCUAGCGUUAAUCAGAAUUACUGGGCGUAAAGAGCACGUAGGUGGUUUUUUUAAAGUCAGAUGUGAAAUCCCUGGGCUUAACCUAAGAACUGCAUUUUGAAACUGAAAUACUAGAGUAUCGUAGAGGGAGGUAGAAUUCUAGGUGUAGCGGUGAAAUGCGUAGAUAUCUGGAGGAAUACCUGUGGCGAAAGCGGCCUCCUAAACGAAUACUGACACUGAGGUGCGAAAGCGUGGGGAGCAAACAGGGAUUAGAUACC